UAUUGGUCAAUGGACGAGAGUCUGAACCAGCCAAAUCGCGUGAAGGAAGACUGCCCUACGUUUUGUAAACUUCUUUUGUACAGGAAUAAAAGUCAUUACGUGUAGUGUAUUGCAUGUACUGUACGAAUAAGCAUCGACUAACUCCGUGCCAGCAGCCGCGGUAAUACGGAGGAUGCGAGCGUUAUCCGGAUUUAUUGGGUUUAAAGGGUGCGCAGGCGGGAUUUUAAGUCAGCGGUGAAAUUUUCAGGCUCAACCUGAACACUGCCGUUGAAACUGGGAUUCUUGAGUAUGGAUGAAGUAGGCGGAAUUCGUUGUGUAGCGGUGACAUGCUUAGAUAUAACGAGGAACUCCGAUUGCGUAGGCAGCUUACUAAGCCAUAACUGACGCUCAAGCACGAAAGCGUGGGGAUCAAACAGG
Molecule: ribosomal RNA, 417 nt
Filed under: uncultured bacterium
Lineage: Bacteria
Description: bacterial SSU rRNA
Rfam family: Bacterial small subunit ribosomal RNA
Source: RNAcentral